GCCGUAUAACAGUAUUUCGAAUAAAGCCUUCAUCUGUAUGCGUAUAGCUAUCAGAGAGAAUUAAGUUAAAAUACAGUUGAAGGGAGGAUCAUAAUGUAGACGCUACAUCUUGAAAAAUAAGCUUUCACGACACAAUAAAUAAUCAAUUUAAGUUGUGUUUGCAAUUGGAGCGAUCCUUAGUUUCGAAAAAAUAGAAUGCUUAGCCGACAAGACUUCUUUUACAAUCUUUCAAAUUGAUUUUGCAUGCAUGAAAUGACUGAAUCCUAAGACAUGGUAACAAUGGAUAAAAUUAUAACGUUGGAUAUUGAUUAAAGUGUGCAUGUUACGUGUUUCUUGAAUAAGGUCACAACCAAGAGCAGGUUAAAGAAACCAAACGUAUAAAAUGUAGCAACACCAAGAGAAAAAAAGAAAUACAAAGCUAUGACGCAUGCACUAGUUAUUGAUAGCAAGCGCGUUUAUCAUAUCGUAAUGCUUAAAAGACAUUACCAGAAUCUAAUGUUUCAUCAUUAGCCAUAUAUUUUAGAACCAAUGUCUAUGUGCAAU
RNAcentral lists this long non-coding RNA (543 nucleotides) under Mytilus galloprovincialis (Mediterranean mussel). The record is from RNAcentral. Lineage: Eukaryota; Metazoa; Mollusca; Bivalvia; Mytilida; Mytilidae.